Molecule: ribosomal RNA, 496 nt
Filed under: uncultured bacterium
Lineage: Bacteria
Description: partial 16S ribosomal RNA
Rfam family: Bacterial small subunit ribosomal RNA
Source: RNAcentral
AUGCACGCUGGCGGCGUGCCUAAUCCAUGCCAGUCGAGCGAACAGACGAGGAGCUUGCUCCCCUGACGUUAGCGGCGGACGGGUGAGUAACACGUGGAUAACCUACCUAUAAGACUGGGAUAACUUCGGGAAACCGGAGCUAAUACCGGAUAAUAUAUUGAACCGCAUGGUUCAAUAGUGAAAGACGGUUUUGCUGUCACUUAUAGAUGGAUCCGCGCCGCAUUAGCUAGUUGGUAAGGUAACGGCUUACCAAGGCAACGAUGCGUAGCCGACCUGAGAGGGUGAACGGCCACACUGGAACUGAGACACGGUCCAGACUCCUACGGGAGGCAGCAGUAGGGAAUCUUCCGCAAUGGGCGAAAGCCUGACGGAGCAACGCCGCGUGAGUGAUGAAGGUCUUCGGAUCGUAAAACUCUGUUAUUAGGGAAGAACAAAUGUGUAAGUAACUAUGCACGUCUUGACGGUACCUAAUCAGAAAGCCACGGCUAACUACGUG